Molecule: long non-coding RNA, 543 nt
Organism: Harpia harpyja (harpy eagle)
Lineage: Eukaryota; Metazoa; Chordata; Aves; Accipitriformes; Accipitridae
Exons: 2
Source: RefSeq, a predicted model, not a curated record
CUGUUCACUGGGGUAAAAAUACAGAUUUUAAUACCCGUCUUAUUUUAGUUCUAAGACUUGGCAAUUGCCAGGUAUCAUCUUUUCGAUUUACCCAGGUCCACCGCCGAGGCCACAAGGGAGAUUUCUUCCAGAGAGAGGAUAGAGUUAUUAAGUCUAAAGUCCAUUAUUUGCUUUUGUCCUUCAGGAAAAGAUGAGAACAAUGCUGAAACUGACCGCAUGCGAUUGAAACUGCGUUAAGCUUCAAGAUCAAAGAACCAAGGACAAGAAUAAAGACUUCAAGGACAGCCAGCAAGAACUUCAAAUGGGCCGGUGGUCGCAAAAGCAGCCCUUCGUCUCAAAUGGAUCCUUCAUUGCGCGUGAUCGGAUGUAGGCAGUGCUAUGAUAAUCAGUUGCCAUCGUUUUUAUGUAUACGUAUACUAAUCUGAUUCAUAUGCAAUUAGUUAGUCUAUAUGACCUGUUUGUGCUAAAGCUGUGGCACGCACGCUAGGUGGAACUAUCCCCCGUGCAUCCAGCGCUGCAGUGAAGAAUGCCUGCUUUCUAAAA